Molecule: long non-coding RNA, 671 nt
Organism: Lontra canadensis (Northern American river otter)
Lineage: Eukaryota; Metazoa; Chordata; Mammalia; Carnivora; Mustelidae
Exons: 3
Source: RefSeq, a predicted model, not a curated record
CGGCAAUCUUCAAAACAGCAGAAGAAACUGGCACAGUCCUUGCCAUCCAGACACUCAUACCCAUAUUCUUCAUCUCUCUCUUGAAGACUAUUACAGAAAGAGAGAAGAUGGUGUUGUAGAAGGAUCCUGAGCUCACCACCCCCACAGCUAUACUGAGGUGUAACAACUACAUAUAUUGCAACUCACUCUGAAAAUGACCUGAAGAUUGGCAGAACAUAUCUUCUGUAACAGGUAACGUCAUAAAAAGAAAGCCACAUCAAGAAGGGUAAGAGGGAAGAGGCAUGGUUAGGAACCAAAGUACUGCUGUGACUACCCAGAAGUGGGAGGGAUAGGACAAGCAUGGAGGCACAAGGGGGUGGGCACCCCUAUUCCUGGGUGCCUGCACUGAGAUGAGCUUCCAUAAUGUCUGGCUUUAAAAAUCAGCAGGACCUAACUCCAGGAGAGCCAGAAGGUCAUAGGAAACCAAGUCUCCACUUUUAAUUGAAGAGCCAGCAUGCUAUAUUACUCACUGUGUAUGCCAGCACAGAAGAACCAGUUUGCAGAGAGUUUGCAGGCCAGAAGGGAUUGGCUGCUGAAAGGAAAAAAAACCUACAAGCAAAAAUACUUCACCUGGCAAGGCUAUCAUUCAGAAUUGAAAGAGAAAAACUUUCCCAGACAAACAAAAGUUUCAG